This is a long non-coding RNA of Vicia villosa (hairy vetch), 349 nucleotides long. RefSeq lists it as uncharacterized. NCBI's taxonomy places the organism in Eukaryota, Viridiplantae, Streptophyta, Magnoliopsida, Fabales, Fabaceae. The transcript is spliced from 4 exons. The record is from RefSeq and is a predicted model, not a curated record.
GUUCAUUACUUUGAUCUCCAUAUAUUCAUCUCUCCUCCCAACAAACUUCUCACUUUAAAAACUCUUCAAGUUCAUCACUUUCAUUUCCUCUGUUUAUUAUAUCUCAAGGAUCAGAUCAUCAUUUGUGGCUUAGGCUCUCUUCGGUACAAUCCUCGUUUUGCGGUUCACGAUUCUCAUCAGAAGGAUUUCACCACCCAAAUUGGAGAUCCAACUUGAACGAAACACAAGCCACGACAGGACCAUGUCUCAACAAGUUUCUUCCGAUUCUCCCAUUUCUGAACAAGCUUCUUAUGCCAGUGCCCAUGAGAUUACACCGGCUACACCCGAGGCUAGGGGCGGAGCCACACAG